This 171-nucleotide unclassified non-coding RNA is filed under the name Talaromyces sp. Its description in RNAcentral is "partial internal transcribed spacer 2". Lineage: Eukaryota; Fungi; Ascomycota; Eurotiomycetes; Eurotiales; Trichocomaceae. RNAcentral also lists the same sequence under 1 other name. The record is from RNAcentral.
CUGCCCUCCAGCGCGGCUGGGUAUUGGGAGCUGUCCCGACCGGGACACGCCCGAAAGGCAGUGGCGGCGCCGCGUCGGUCCUCGAGCGUAUGGGGCUUUGUCACCUGCUCGGGAGGGAUUGGCGGGCGCCUGUCUUCCAUCGACAGGCCUCUCUAGGGGCCGGUCUUCCAC